This 2620-nucleotide long non-coding RNA is filed under the name Capsella rubella. RNAcentral describes it as "long non-coding RNA (CRUB_LNC001630)". The record is from RNAcentral. Lineage: Eukaryota; Viridiplantae; Streptophyta; Magnoliopsida; Brassicales; Brassicaceae.
AAGAAAUCACGAUUACAAUUCUCAGGAUCGUUUGGUGGCUAACAACAAAAACCUAAAUAAAAUAUAACUCGAUCCCCUGGGCAAAUUAAAUGAGACCUAUUAUAACAAUGUUUGGGAAAACCUUAAAACAUAAAACGACAACGUAAAAGCGGUUCAAAAGUUGUUGUGACUAAGUUGGUCGAGUGAGAAUCUCGAGUGAGCAUCUUCUCUGCUUUGCUCGAUCGUGUCACUCGAGUGUGCACGUCGAGUGACAGUUGUUUCGCAUUCCUUCGGUUCAAUCGGUCACCCUACUCGAUCAACUGCUCGAUCCGCUACUCGAUCACCCUACUCGAUCACGUCCAUCGAGUGAAGUAUGUUCCUGCAACGCAUCCCUGCUUCUCACUCGAUCGUCCCACUCGAUCAUAUGCGUGUCGAGUAACGCUUGUUCCUCUGCUUCGCUCUGCAAACACUCCAAACAUGCAGAAUGUAUGCAAGACAUGCAUGAUAUGCAUGAAACCUACCUAAGUAUGUAAAACAUGCAGAAAGUGAUCAAUAUGAUGCGAAUCAACAAGUGAACGAUGCUGAAAAGAUGAUGAAUACAUGCUCAAAAAGUGAUGAAAUACAAACUUAUCAACUCCUCCAAACUUAGUCUUUGCUUGCCCUCAAGCAAAGCAAAAAGAAACAAAGUGGAAGAGAUGUUUGAAAAUGGGGUCUCAGAACCUGUAAGUUGCAAGAUAGAACAGUUAAAAUCAAUGUCAUGGUUGCUAAGUCUAUGAUGCAUGCUGAGAGAACUUCACUUAAAGACUUUAGACAAACUCAUCAAAUCCGAAACUGAUUAUAUCCCUUGAUCUACACAUGCAUUCAAAUCAUUCAUUCCUUUUAACAUUCAUUACUCAAGUAUAUGCAUCUGGUUGUGCAAGGCUUAAUAAACUCACUUGGCUAGGCAGAAAAAGGUUUUGAGAAUCAAGAGGGUUUAAACAAUUUCAGGACAAGGAUCUCUCAAUGAAUGGAUUGAGCUUUAGGGAGAAUGCUAAAGGUAAGGACCAACAAAUGCAUACAGGAAUAAAACCUUGACUACCCAAUGGUUCCCAAGUGCUUACUCCUAAUCGUCUAAACUAGAAUGAUCCCUAUGUCUACCCUUUAACAUCAAUCCCAUUUUUUUUUUUUUUACCUUAGGAGAAGUUUCUUAUCAAUACUAGUGGAUAGGGGGUUUCUUCUUUACUAUGGUUCUGUUUUCUUCUUACGUUAUAAGACAUCAAAGCUUUUUCUCUUUCUUUACAUCCCAGAACCAUUCUCUGUAUAUCAUGCUAUCCCCAUAAAAAUCAAUCACUAGAGUAUAAACUUCUAGAAAAACAUUCUCCUCCUAAGGACACAACUUUUUCUGUUUCUCUUCUUUCUUUCCACAAUCAUUCCAAUCUCAAACCCAAGUAAGAAUCCAGACCUAGUCCUAUCUGAUUUGAAAGUGAAAAUCAGAACUACUCAAGAUUUUAAUCCUGUCGGCUCAUACCUAACAAGUUCUCCCCAAGCAUAAUCCGGUAAAAGACCUACCACUCAAAAAUUAUCAAUUGGCUUGAAAGAAAAGGAUAGGCUGUGGGUAUGGCAAACUGAUCAAAAGAAAGAUCAGCUACUUGGAUCAACAAGAGUGGUGAAAGGAGGAAGAUGAUCCAAAUAUGUAUAUGGUGACCAUGAGCAUGCAAGCAAAACACAACCAGAUAUUUGCAGGUCAAGAUUAAGUUCUUAUAAGGUAAGGAAUGAGAUCAUAUCACAACAUGUUUCAACCAAGUUCAAGAAUGCUCUCCAUUAAUUCCAAGUUUGUUUCAGACUUACUUCAAGUUCAAUCAUCAUGCAUCAAAGAGCUAAAAACCAGGGCAUUGAUCUCAACUGGUGAAUCAUAGCAAGUUAACAAGGUGUAAAUCAUCAUCGCCCCCUAUGCUAAUGCAACGGUCCUACAUGAAACAAUCUAGACUCAAUCCUAGUUUGCAAAUGCAAGCUACAUGAUCACUCUGUUUUAAAAGUUUUUUUCUGAAAAUUUUCAAAUUUUUAGGGGUUUUCAAUGCACAUAUAUGAAUACAAAUUAUAUUCUAUAAUUUCAAAAUAAGAAAAGUGAACACAACAUCAAAUGUCAUCCCAAACCCUCCCCCAAACUUAAAUUACACAGUCUCUUGUGUAAUAAAAAUUUGAGAGUUGGUUUGAGAAUCAAACAAACAAAAGUAUGAAAAUGCAAUGGUAUAUACGGAUGAAGGUUUGGAGUGGUACCUUACUGAAAAUAUCAGUCCAGGUAUUGAGUCAUGGAUUCGCUUGUAUAAGCACCUGGUGCAGGCUGCGCAGGAGGAGCUUCUGUAGGAUGCUCAACGUUGAGUGAGCAAACGGCGAGAUUGAGAGAUCCUGUCGAGUGAGCUGAAAUCUGACGAGUCGAGCUAGAGCUUCAUCGUCGAGUGGCGAGGAGCUCGCUUGGCCGGUGGAACGGGAGCAGACGGUGGUGAGACUGUCGAGUAGAGAUCGACAGAGUACGAGUGCGGUCGACUGAGAGACAGCUCGAGUGCGCUGGUCGAGUAACGGUGAGUCGAGUGGUUUUUGAGAAGACCGUAUGAGUUGAGUGAGAGGGAGAACCGAAUGAUUUGGAGAGUGGUGAUGGAGUGAG